UCGCACUCCUUAGGAAUUAUGGAUGCACCAAUACCCAUAUCUCCAAAAUUGUAAGCAGGUAUCCGCUCCUGCUCACUGCCAAUCCUGAGAAGACCCUUCUGCCCAAACUGGAGUUUUUCCGUUCUGUAGGCUUUUCAGGGCCUGACCUUGCCAGUAUCGUCGUUUCAAGCCCAAUUAUCUUGAGAAGGAGCUUGGAAAAUCAUGUUAUUCCUAGUUAUAAUUUUCUUAAGAGUGUAGUUAUGGUCAAUGAAAAUAUUGUGAGGGCUUUCAAGAAGACAUUCUGGAUUUCGGGUCAAAAUGUGCAAAACGCCAUCGCCCCAAAUAUUGCAAUUCUGGAGGAAAUUGGAGUUCCCAUGUCAAAUAUGAAGUUUUUGGUGACAUGUCACCCUAAUGUAGUGUCCCAAAACAGGGAAAAGUUUAGUAGAAGUGUCAAGAAGGUUAUUGAAAUGGGAUUCAAUCCUUUGAGACUUAGCUUUCUGAAAGCAAUCGAAGUCAGCUGUCAAUUGACUGAAUCAAUGUUGGAGCAUAAAAUGGAGGUUUAUAGGCGGUGGGGUCUGACAGAUGAUGAGAUUAUGUCGAUGUUCAGAUUGGAUCCCUUAUGUAUGAAGUCAUCAGAGAAGAAAAUAAUGAGUGUGAUGGAUUUUCUGGUUAAUAAGAUGGGUUGGGAACCUGCUGCUUUUGCUAGAUAUCCAACAGUCUUUUUGUGCAGUUUGGAGAAGAAGUGGUGAAAAUUCUUCAAAUGAAGGGGUUGGUGAAGAAGGAUCUGUGUUUCGGUUUUUUAUACUCCAAUGACAAGAAUUUUUCUGAUAAGUUUGUGCUCAAAUAUGAGCAAGAUGGUCCUGAGCUUUUGAAUGUAUAUCAAGGAAAAAUUGGUAUUUUGGAACUUGGCUUUGUAUCUGAGGGGGUAAAGGAGAAGAAACAGUUGUAGCAUCUCAACUUCACAGUUCCAAAUAAUUAUCCUUUUUGUCAUUUUUCCCAUUCGAAACUUGGUUUGCAGGCAUGUUAACUUCUCUUUGCACUGUUGACAAUAUAAUUGCUUCAACCAGCUUCAGCUGGGGGUUAACUUCGAUUGCUUUUUUUGCCUUUUUUAAGACGAGUCAUAUAGGAUACCUUAAAGUUCAUGCAGAUAUAUGUAUUCUGGGGUGAAAGCUGAAACAAAUGUGUAGACAAUAAGAACUGAUUGUUUUGUAUGGAUGGUCUUUUCAAGAUCAAAUCUCCAUAAUUUGAUUUGUGGAGUGCUUCAGUUUAUCUACAAACCUUUUUUCAGACAUGGGAGGUUGCAAGCUGCAUCAAGACUUACAGAUCAAAAUAGGGUCUAAAGGGCAUGCUUUAUUUUUGGGCAAGCAAUAUUUGGAGUAUUAUAAAUUACUGAAGUAUUAUGAACUUGGCAUCAUUUUCUCCCUUUCAUUAUAUUUGCAGCGAAAUAGUCACCUGAUUUUCUGCAUAACUGGACUGAAGUUGAGUUCCUGUUGAGGGUUGUAGGGGCAUAGCUUUUAGCCUUUUUUUAAAUAAAAGGACAGCUCCAGAGCAUGUGAAAUAUCAAAUAUCCCAACUUUCUAUCUAAUCUCAUUUUCACAUUUUAAAAAAGUUUAAAUGAAAAUUAAUAAAUAAAUAAAUUGAAAAACCCUAAUAAAAAUCGAUGGCAAAAAACCUAAAUCAAAAUCCCCCCAAUGGGAGGGAAAUGAGUUGGAAAAAGAGAAAAAUUAAAUUUUUAGGAAAAUAAAAGAAAAAUAAUAAUGUCUUAAAUGGUCAUUUUCUUAAAGAACCAACAAGGAGGUCAUUCUUAUUUCCUGGAAGUAUUUUAAAUCUUUUGACCAAAUAUCUCUUUCUUUUUUCAGUGUAGAUUGCAAUCUUUGCACGAAGAGAGAUGAGUCCGGGUUCUGUUUGCUUGGAGGGAAAGUGAGUUGGAGAAACAUCUUUAGGCAUGCCGUGGUACAUUUCCAAAUCUACCUAUCUUCUGAUUUAUCGAUUGUUUUCUGCGCCAUUGCUUUUCUGCAACUGAUGCUACAAAUUGGGGCUGAUUGAGUUUCGGAGCUCUACGAUCUUCAGAAUUGGUGAGAGACGCGAACAUCAUCUAGGAAUGGCUACUAGUUUCCUCUGUAAAAGAGUAGUGUCACUAAAAAAUGUGGGGCAAAUGUUUGAAAUUUCAAGGGCCCAAGUGCAUUUUCUUCAAAAUACUAAACCUUUUAGGUUUAGAUCUUUCUCUUCGCCCAAACAACACUCUUUUACAGUGUCGUACCUCAUGAACUCAUGUGGGUUGUCCCCAGAAACUGCUCUAUCUGCGUCACGGAAGGUACAGUUUGAAACUCCAGAAAGAGCAGACUCCGUCCUCGCACUCCUUAGGAAUUAUGGAUGCACCAAUACCCAUAUCUCCAAAAUUGUAAGCAGGUAUCCGCUCCUGCUCACUGCCAAUCCUGAGAAGACCCUUUUGCCCAAACUAGAGUUUUUCCGUUCCGUAGGCUUUUCAGGGCCUGACCUUGCCAGUAUUGUCGCUGCUAGCCCACAGAUCUUGAGAAGGAGCUUGGAAAAUCAUGUUAUUCCUAGUUAUAAUUUCCUCAAGAGCGUAGUUAUGGUCAAUGAAAAUAUUGUGAGGGCUCUCAAUAAGUCAUACUGGCUUAAUGGUCA
RNAcentral lists this long non-coding RNA (2625 nucleotides) under Vitis vinifera (wine grape). RNAcentral's name for it is "long non-coding RNA (VVIN_LNC002036)". The record is from RNAcentral. Lineage: Eukaryota; Viridiplantae; Streptophyta; Magnoliopsida; Vitales; Vitaceae.